RNAcentral lists this ribosomal RNA (459 nucleotides) under uncultured bacterium. Its description in RNAcentral is "partial 16S ribosomal RNA". It matches the Rfam family "Bacterial small subunit ribosomal RNA", at positions 338 to 795 of the family's 1533-position model. The record is from RNAcentral.
CCUACGGGAGGCAGCAGUGAGGAAUAUUGGUCAAUGGCCGGAAGGCUGAACCAGCCAAGCCGCGUGAAGGACGAAGGUGCCAAGCAUUGUAAACUUCUUUUGUCAAGGGACAAAAUCAGGCUCGAGAGCCUGACCGCGGGUACUUGUAGAAAAAGCAUCGGCAAACUCCGUGCCCGCAGCCGCGGUAAUACGGAGGAGUCGAGCGUUAUCCGGAUUUAUUGGGUUUAAAGGGUCCGUAGUCGGACGGUUAAGUCAGCGGUAAAACCCCGGGGCUCAACCCCGGCGAGCCGUUGAAACUGGCUGUCUUGAGAUGUCGAGAGGUAUGCGGAAUGCGCAGUGUAGCGGUGAAAUGCUUAGAUAUUGCGAAGAACUCCGAUUGCGAAGGCAGCAUACCGGCGGCGAUCUGACGCUGAGGCACGAAAGCGUGGGUAUCGAACAGGAUUAGAUACCCGUGUAGUC